GACGAACGCUGGCGGCGUGCUUAAUACAUGCAAGUCGAACGGACCGAUUCCGAUCUUUUACUAUUGGCAAAGGCUAGUGGCGGACGGGUGAGUAACGCGUGGGCAAUCUGCCCCUAUGUCCGGGCUAACAGAGCGCAAGUUCUGCUAAGACCGGUUACUCUAUCCUAGCCGCUUGGUUGGUAAAGGAAGGUGUACGCUUAAGGAUGAGCCCGCGUCCCCUGAGCUAGCUGGUGAGGUAACGGCCCACGAAGGCAACGAUGGGUACCCGGCCGGAGAGGGUGGGCGGCCACACUGGGACUGGGACACGGCCCAGACUCCUACGGGAGGCAGCAGUAGGGAACUGUCCGCCAUGGGCGAAAGCCUGACCGUGCAACGCCGGGUGAGGGACGAAGGUAGUCGGAUAGUAAUCCUUUGUCAUCGAGGAAGAUAAUGACGGUACUUGAGGAGAAAGCCACGGCUAACUACGUG
Molecule: ribosomal RNA, 468 nt
Filed under: uncultured bacterium
Lineage: Bacteria
Description: partial 16S ribosomal RNA
Rfam family: Bacterial small subunit ribosomal RNA
Source: RNAcentral